AACGGUCUAUACCUGCGGUACCUGCGGAGGGAUCAUUAAAGAGAAAACUGCCCUUUGGGUAGAUCUCCCACCCUUUGUUUACCUUACCUUUGUUGCUUUGGCAGGCCCGUCUUCUGACCACCGGCUUUAGCUGGUCCGUGCCUGCCAGAGGACCCCAAACUCUUAAUUUUAAGUUGUCCGAGUCUUAUAAAAUAGUAAAAACUUUUAACAAUGGAUCUCU
RNAcentral lists this unclassified non-coding RNA (220 nucleotides) under soil metagenome. RNAcentral's name for it is "partial contains 5.8S ribosomal RNA, internal transcribed spacer 2, and large subunit ribosomal RNA". The record is from RNAcentral.